Molecule: transfer RNA, 72 nt
Filed under: Candidatus Woesearchaeota archaeon
Lineage: Archaea; Nanobdellati; Candidatus Woesearchaeota
Description: tRNA-Tyr
Rfam family: tRNA
About the family: Transfer RNA (tRNA) molecules are approximately 80 nucleotides in length. Their secondary structure includes four short double-helical elements and three loops (D, anti-codon, and T loops). Further hydrogen bonds mediate the characteristic L-shaped molecular structure. tRNAs have two regions of fundamental functional importance: the anti-codon, which is responsible for specific mRNA codon recognition, and the 3' end, to which the tRNAs corresponding amino acid is attached (by aminoacyl-tRNA synthetases). tRNAs cope with the degeneracy of the genetic code in two manners: having more than one tRNA (with a specific anti-codon) for a particular amino acid; and 'wobble' base-pairing, i.e. permitting non-standard base-pairing at the 3rd anti-codon position.
Source: RNAcentral
CCCCGCGUAGCAUAACGGUGGUGCGUCCGGCUGUAGACCGGAAGGUUGCUGGUUCAAAUCCGGCCGCGGGGA